RNAcentral lists this long non-coding RNA (1143 nucleotides) under Brassica rapa (field mustard). Its description in RNAcentral is "long non-coding RNA (BRAP_LNC008850)". Lineage: Eukaryota; Viridiplantae; Streptophyta; Magnoliopsida; Brassicales; Brassicaceae. The record is from RNAcentral.
GCUGGGUACGAGGCCGAGGAAACACUAAUCACCCCUACACAAGCCUAGUAUGGGCGGGUUUCGCACAUACUGUCGGCACACUCACAACAAAACAAACUCAAUCUAGAACCUAACCUAAAGCCAAAGUUCCAGAUCCUAACUAGACACUCGACUCUACAACACAAACCAAUAGUACCAGUAGUCCGGCCUAUAUGGCCUAAGAGCAACAUUAUUGGGAGUCUCUUAAGGCAUCCCUUAAGGAAAGGGGGUGGAGACCGAGGAAGAAAGAGAAGGGAAAGCCCUUAAUUAAGGGCUGUCCCUUACUCUCUAAUGACCAAAAAAAAAAAAAAAAAAAAAAACAGAACAAGGGACUCUCUCCCUCUCUCUCUUCAUCCCACCAAUAAUGUUGCUCUAAGACCCUUAGUACUAACUACUAAACAAUAAUAUCAAUACUAAACAACACAAUCAAACCGUUACCCAGAUAGUCCAGCCUCCCGCUGAGAAACUAUCUUUAAAGAUAACGGGAACCUGCACUCAACAAUAUCAACACGCAAUAAGAGAAAACAUGAUGCAUCCUAGCCCUAGUCCUAGUCAGGUUAUUAACUCAGUCUUAAUUCCAUUCAUCUCAGCUUAGCCCUUGCUAAACUGAGUCCGGUUCCAUAAAUAAAAUAACCCUAAGGACUCUACCAUUCAAUAACGUGAUCAUUCUACUCUAUAUGCGACUUGAUCUACCCUAAAUUCCAAGUGGAAUUCAAACAAACCAACUCACAGUGUUCUAGGCGAGAAGCUGCUGGUUGAUCGGAGAGGACUUGGCCAAAACCCAAGGGACACCUUGACUGGACUGGACUGAACUGACCUCGACUUGGACAAAACCUCGGCUUGAUCAUGAAGACACUAACAGGUCUGGACGGCCUGAUCUGAACAGAACCUUCUUUAGCUCCUGGACAGUUCUUCGGACUUCCCGGCGGAGUAUCGAGCAUAACUUCGACUGAUCUGAACCCGUGGUUCUGAACUAACUCUGGGCAGCACCUCCACUUGACCAUCAUAGAAUAUGACUGGCUUGGACGAAUUGAAUUGGACAGAGCUUCCGCGUCACAAUCGUAGAGAAUCGCCGAUUGGACGGAACUGGCCUUCUCGGUGGAGUAUCGGUCUUCAGAAUCAACC